UACGGAGGGAGCUAGCGUUGUUCGGAAUUACUGGCGUAAAGCGCACGUAGGCGGCUUUGUAAGUUAGAGGUGAAAGCCCGGGGCUCAACUCCGGAACUGCCUUUAAGACUGCAUCGCUUGAAUCCAGGAGAGGUGAGUGGAAUUCCGAGUGUAGAGGUGAAAUUCGUAGAUAUUCGGAAGAACACCAGUGGCGAAGGCGACUCACUGGACAUGUAUUGACGCUGAGGUGCGAAAGCGUGGGGAGCAAACAGG
RNAcentral lists this ribosomal RNA (252 nucleotides) under uncultured bacterium. RNAcentral's name for it is "partial 16S ribosomal RNA". It matches the Rfam family "Bacterial small subunit ribosomal RNA", at positions 524 to 776 of the family's 1533-position model. The record is from RNAcentral.